RNAcentral lists this ribosomal RNA (253 nucleotides) under uncultured bacterium. Its description in RNAcentral is "partial 16S ribosomal RNA". It matches the Rfam family "Bacterial small subunit ribosomal RNA", at positions 524 to 776 of the family's 1533-position model. The record is from RNAcentral.
UACGAAGGGUGCAAGCGUUAAUCGGAAUUACUGGGCGUAAAGCGCACGUAGGCGGAUAUUUAAGUCAGGGGUGAAAUCCCAGAGCUCAACUCUGGAACUGCCUUUGAUACUGGGUAUCUCGAGUAUGGAAGAGGUGAGUGGAAUUCCGAGUGUAGAGGUGAAAUUCGUAGAUAUUCGGAGGAACACCAGUGGCGAAGGCGGCUCACUGGUCCAUUACUGACGCUGAGGUGCGAAAGCGUGGGGAGCAAACAGG